AGAACGAACGCUGGCGGCAUGCCUAACACAUGCAAGUCGAACGAGACCUUCGGGUCUAGUGGCGCACGGGUGCGUAACGCGUGGGAAUCUGCCCUUUGGUACGGAAUAACUCAGAGAAAUUUGUGCUAAUACCGUAUAAUGACUUCGGUCCAAAGAUUUAUCGCCAAAGGAUGAGCCCGCGUAAGAUUAGCUAGUUGGUGAGGUAAAAGCUCACCAAGGCGACGAUCUUUAGCUGGUCUGAGAGGAUGAUCAGCCACACUGGGACUGAGACACGGCCCAGACUCCUACGGGAGGCAGCAGUGGGGAAUAUUGGACAAUGGGCGAAAGCCUGAUCCAGCAAUGCCGCGUGAGUGAUGAAGGCCUUAGGGUUGUAAAGCUCUUUUACCCGCGAUGAUAAUGACAGUAGCGGGAGAAUAAGCUCCGGCUAACUACGUGCCAGCAGCCGC
Molecule: ribosomal RNA, 446 nt
Filed under: uncultured bacterium
Lineage: Bacteria
Description: SSU rRNA
Rfam family: Bacterial small subunit ribosomal RNA
Source: RNAcentral